AUACGGAGGGUGCAAGCGUUAUUCGGAAUCACUGGGCGUAAAGGACGCGUAGGCGGGUUGGCAAGUCAGAUGUGAAAUCCUACAGCUUAACUGUAGAACUGCAUUUGAAACUGCUAACCUAGAGUAUGGGAGGGGGAGAUGGAAUUAGUGGUGUAGGGGUAAAAUCCGUAGAUAUCACUAGGAAUACCGAAAGCGAAGGCGAUCUCCUGGAACAUAACUGACGCUAAGGCGUGAAAGCGUGGGGAACAAACAGGAUUAGAACCCCAGUAGUCC
Molecule: ribosomal RNA, 273 nt
Filed under: uncultured bacterium
Lineage: Bacteria
Description: partial 16S ribosomal RNA
Rfam family: Bacterial small subunit ribosomal RNA
Source: RNAcentral